GACGAACGCUGUCGGCGUGCCUAAUACAUGCAAGUCGAACGCAUUUUCUUUCACCGUAGCUUGCUACACCGAAAGAAAAUGAGUGGCGAACGGGUGAGUAACACGUGGGUAACCUGCCCAUCAGCGGGGGAUAACACUUGGAAACAGGUGCUAAUACCGCAUAAUUCCAUUUACUGCAUGGUAGAUGGAUGAAAGGCGCUUUUGCGUCACUGAUGGAUGGACCCGCGGUGCAUUAGCUAGUUGGUGGGGUAACGGCCUACCAAGGCUGCGAUGCAUAGCCGACCUGAGAGGGUGAUCGGCCACACUGGGACUGAGACACGGCCCAGACUCCUACGGGAGGCAGCAGUAGGGAAUCUUCGGCAAUGGACGCAAGUCUGACCGAGCAACGCCGCGUGAGUGAAGAAGGUUUUCGGAUCGUAAAACUCUGUUGUUAGAAAAGAACAAGGAUGAGAGUGGAAAGUUCAUCCCUUGACGGUAUCUAACCAGAAAGCCACGGCUAACUACGUG
RNAcentral lists this ribosomal RNA (507 nucleotides) under uncultured bacterium. RNAcentral's name for it is "partial 16S ribosomal RNA". It matches the Rfam family "Bacterial small subunit ribosomal RNA", at positions 28 to 507 of the family's 1533-position model. The record is from RNAcentral.